AUUGAACGCUGGCGGAAUGCUUUACACAUGCAAGUCGAACGGUAGAGGGGGCAACCCCUCGAGAGUGGCGAACGGGUGAGUAAUAUAUCGGAACGUGCCCAGUCGUGGGGGAUAACGUAGCGAAAGUUACGCUAAUACCGCAUACGAUCUACGGAUGAAAGCGGGGGAUCGCAAGACCUCGCGCGAUUGGAGCGGCCGAUAUCAGGAUUAGGUAGUUGGUGGGGUAAAGGCUCACCAAGCCAACGAUCUGUAGCUGGUCUGAGAGGACGACCAGCCACACUGGGACUGAGACACGGCCCAGACUCC
RNAcentral lists this ribosomal RNA (306 nucleotides) under uncultured bacterium. Its description in RNAcentral is "bacterial SSU rRNA". It matches the Rfam family "Bacterial small subunit ribosomal RNA", at positions 30 to 339 of the family's 1533-position model. The record is from RNAcentral.